GACGAACGCUGGCGGCGCGCCUAAUACAUGCAAGUCGAGCGAACAGACGAGGAGCUUGCUCCUCUGACGUUAGCGGCGGAUGGGUGAGUAACACGUGGAUAACCUACCUAUAAGACUGGGCUAACUUCGGGAAACCGGAGCUAAUACCGGAUAAUAUAUUGAACCGCAUGGUUCAAUAGUGAAAGACGGUUUUGCUGUCACUUAUAGAUGGAUCCGCGCCGCAUUAGCUAGUUGGUAAGGUAACGGCUUACCAAGGCAACGAUGCGUAGCCGACCUGAGAGUGUGAGCGGCCACACUGGAACUGAGACACGGUCCAGACUCCGACUGGAGGCAGCAGUAGGGAAUCUUCCUCAAUGGGCGAAAGCCUGACGGAGCAACGCCGCGUGAGUGAUGAAGGUCUUCGGAUCGUAAAACUCUGUUAUUAGGGAAGAACAAAUGUGUAAGUAACUAUGCACGUCUUGACGGUACCUAAUCAGAAAGCCACGGCUAACUACGUG
This 497-nucleotide ribosomal RNA is filed under the name uncultured bacterium. RNAcentral's name for it is "partial 16S ribosomal RNA". It matches the Rfam family "Bacterial small subunit ribosomal RNA", at positions 28 to 507 of the family's 1533-position model. The record is from RNAcentral.